UAGUUAUUCUUUUGGUAUUUUUUGACGAGUAAACUGAAUGUAAGUCUUCCAUUUAAAGUCCAGCAGCAUUCCAGAUGUUUACGCGCACUGAUACAAAAGAACUGCUUCUGUUUUGUGCGGAAUCCACUCAGUGCAGGGCGGCCAUUGUGAGGUCAACCCAGAGGUGUACAAGAUGCCACAAGUCUAGUGAUCUUUGAAGUGUUCAGCAUCAAGUGUGGAAUCAUCUUAUACCUAUUGCAGGAUGCUGAGAAAAAACAACCAGCCCCUUGAUGGGAACUACAGUAGCUGUUGCAAUGUUAUCUUUCAUACACGUCUAACUCCAAAUAUAUACAGGUGACAGAGCAAAACUAUUGGCAAUGGCAGGACAUCCAGCUUAUUCGGGUUCUGUUAGUCAGGUCUUAAAGUAUUACAGCUGUCAAGCCUCUUGGAAGCCCAGACUUCGGGGACUGUGCCUCUGGCUCAGUAGGGGCUUGUUCAGCUAAGUUAGAUGGGUUUGCUGGAUGUCAAGGCCACAAAUAAUGUUAAGUUCCUUUUGCUCUUGUUCCUGAUGGUACUUUGCCUCAGCCCGACCUAGAGAUGAUCCCGGUAAACUACUGCCAAUAUUGUUGUUCUCCGCUUGUUUUCUUCCUCGUACGCCUCGCUGGCAGUAGCCAGUUUUUCUGCAUUGUAGUCUGAUCAGGGUCUGGGAUAUCAAGUAAAUAUGGGUUAGACAGUAGUAACACCAACCCUGUCCUAACAUCUGGAGUGGUGAUUCCGCCUUAAAUGUUCCAGAAGCCUAUUUCCAGAGAACACUUCAUUUAUGUAUUCAUUGAAUUUAAAACAAGAUGCCGUUUCAGCGUAACGGGGCUCCACGGUACUCCAGACCUUCCCUUAAAGUUGAGAUUUCCCCACCCUAGUUGGGUCUGUACAUACUCAUUUCAGGGUAUGCAGCGCACCGCUGACCCUGACCUCUUUUUGUCCAUGUUCAACAGCCCGAAAAAUUAACAUCCAAUUUUGAAAAGUAUAUUUUUGAAUGUUUGUAGCAUUGUGUUCUGACUUUUUUUCUUUUCCUAUUAAAUAAUCAUUGUAAAAUAACAUCGCUACACAAGAAUGAGAUUUUGUUAGGUACCAAGAUUUCAAGCAAUAUACGUGGUACAAUAGCAUGUUUUGUUUGUUGGCCUCGUCUUCCUCUAUUCUUGCAAUGUCUUGUUGUCUUUUGUUUGUCAUGGUUU
Long non-coding RNA from Branchiostoma floridae (Florida lancelet), 1211 nucleotides. RefSeq lists it as uncharacterized. The record is from RefSeq and is a predicted model, not a curated record. NCBI's taxonomy places the organism in Eukaryota, Metazoa, Chordata, Leptocardii, Amphioxiformes, Branchiostomatidae. The transcript is spliced from 2 exons.